RNAcentral lists this ribosomal RNA (251 nucleotides) under uncultured prokaryote. RNAcentral's name for it is "partial 16S rRNA". It matches the Rfam family "Bacterial small subunit ribosomal RNA", at positions 525 to 775 of the family's 1533-position model. The record is from RNAcentral.
ACGGAGGAUGCAAGCGUUAUCCGGAUUCAUUGGGUUUAAAGGGUGCGUAGGCGGACUAUUAAGUCAGUGGUGAAAUCCUGCAGCUUAACUGCAGAACUGCCAUUGAUACUGAUAGCCUUGAGUUUGGUAAAGGUAGGCGGAAUGUGUGAUGUAGCGGUGAAAUGCGUAGAGAUCUGGAGGAAUACCGAUGGCGAAGGCGGCCCCCUGAACCGACACUGACGCUCAGGUGCGAAAGCGUGGGGAGCAAACAG